UACGAAGGGGGCUAGCGUUGCUCGGAAUCACUGGGCGUAAAGCGCACGUAGGCGGCUUAUUAAGUCAGGGGUGAAAUCCUGGAGCUCAACUCCAGAACUGCCUUUGAUACUGAUGAGCUUGAGUUCGGGAGAGGUGAGUGGAACUGCGAGUGUAGAGGUGAAAUUCGUAGAUAUUCGCAAGAGCACCAGUGGCGAAGGCAGCUCGCUGGGACGUUACUGACGCUGAGACGCGAAAGCGUGGGGAGCAAACAGG
This 253-nucleotide ribosomal RNA is filed under the name uncultured bacterium. RNAcentral's name for it is "partial 16S ribosomal RNA". It matches the Rfam family "Bacterial small subunit ribosomal RNA", at positions 524 to 776 of the family's 1533-position model. The record is from RNAcentral.